Mastomys coucha (southern multimammate mouse) is the source of this 1034-nucleotide long non-coding RNA. RefSeq lists it as uncharacterized. Lineage: Eukaryota; Metazoa; Chordata; Mammalia; Rodentia; Muridae. The transcript is spliced from 4 exons. The record is from RefSeq and is a predicted model, not a curated record.
CCCCCUAACCAUCCUCCAGCAAAGGACAUCCUCACUACCUAAUUGUCUGAUCUUCUGAAAUAAUCAAUGGGUUUUUAUUGAUAAAGUUUGUUCCUGGAGGAUACAAUGAGGGCUCCAGGACCUGGGAACACUGCUUCAAUGAGUACCAACCUCCAACAUGUUGAACCCCAGUGACAUUUUCCAUCCAGGCCAAAACAUACAGGCAGUGAUUGAGCAGAACCUUCAUAGCACAGAAUCUCUUCAGGAUGGAAAACCAGAUGGUGCUUCUCCUCAUUUUUCCAACAGGAAACACAAACUAAAGUUGUUUAUCCAGUUUGGUUGAAGAAAGGGAGGAAGGGGUCUUGCAUCCCCAUCUCCACUCAUCUCCAGACUGCAAGGUAGAGAUGGAUUCCCCUGAAGGAUCUCAAGGGCAUUUGUAGGGCAGACCUCCCCCUCCCAUCACCUCCACAGAACCAUGCUUCAGGUCCUCCAGUUGCUGAAGGAGUUUAUCAGGAAGGCUGCAUUACAGCAUCAGAGAAGCUGUCUCUGAGCAAGACUUGGAGGGUAGGAUCUACUGGAGCCUCAGUUGGAGGAAAGACAUUAUUCGGACCCUGUGGCACAGGGUACCAUCCACCAUCUUCCUCAGGAAUAGGAAGUCUCUCUGUCAACCCUGCAAAAGGAAGAGGAGCCUCUUCUCAUUUGACCCAAGAGCAGAAGUCUUUCUGCUAAGCACGGGAGAGCUCCAAGGUAGCUCAGACACCAGAGGUCCAACAGGGCAUAGGUGCACAGCACCAGGAUGGCCAGUAGAGGGAACAGGAAAGCUGGGGCUGGGUCAGUCUUGAACUCUAGGUUCUGUGAAAACAGCCUGUGCAUGCCUGGCUUCUAUGCAGCAAACACAAUUGUCAUGUCUGAACACUUCCCUACAGUUUACUUUUUUUUUUUGUCUGAGUGUUCUUAAUGUGGCCUGAGAGCACAGCCUAAAAUAAUUUUGCAAGGAAAGUGAAUGUUCUCAGUAAACCAGAUACUCCAUUCAAAAUGGAAAUUAUCAUUCCAAA